GCAUGAAAGAAAGUGGGCCAGUGUGAGACUGGAGAGGAAACCUCAUUACUUCCCAGAGAGAAGCAGGGGCUGCUCUUCAGGUGGAGUGGUGCUCAGGAAAUUCCAGAACAUGGUUGCAUGAGAAUCCAAUGGAACAGCUACUGAGUGGCAACGACCAACUCAGAGGGUGGGGAGGGACUUGAGAACCACUUGGAUACCAUGAGGAAACGGAGUUUGCUUUGGAAUUUGAGGACGGAGGAGCAAUGGAGAACCAAGAACUCCUGCAUACCUCGCUGUCCAGGAUGCAGUAGGCUUUCCAUAACGUUUGUGGACCAUUUCCUCUUGCCAUUAGUCAACUGGCCAGAGAGGGUCGUCCUGACCAUCAAGAGGAACAAACUUAUACCAGCAGCUGUCAGCCUC
Long non-coding RNA from Globicephala melas (long-finned pilot whale), 399 nucleotides. RefSeq lists it as uncharacterized. The record is from RefSeq and is a predicted model, not a curated record. NCBI's taxonomy places the organism in Eukaryota, Metazoa, Chordata, Mammalia, Artiodactyla, Delphinidae.